This 3080-nucleotide small RNA is filed under the name Pan troglodytes (chimpanzee). RNAcentral describes it as "processed transcript". Lineage: Eukaryota; Metazoa; Chordata; Mammalia; Primates; Hominidae. The record is from RNAcentral.
GUCCCUACAACAUCCAUUUUAUCCACAGCUGGUACACAACUAAUGAUUCAACUAGGUCAUUUAUUUAUAUUUUAAAUUGCCUUCUAUGCUCUGUCAGAAGCCUACUUAACACUGAAUAAUCUAAAGCCCUGGUUCUUCUAUAGAUCUGGUAAGUAAAAGUGUUUUACAAAUGAGUUCUACUGAAAUAUUUUAAAUGUUUGCCCUUCCCACUCCCAUUUCCUAAUCCCUAUUCCAUGAAGCUUAGGUCAAUACAACAGUUUACGUAUGUUAACAUUUACAGAAGAAGAAUUCAAACAGAGGUGAAAUGAAAGAGAUUGAUCUUUGAGCACUUUCCCAUGAAAAUGUUGUUAUAUAUCCUUUGUGAUAUAAAAUUUUAAAUCAUAGAAUUAUAAAUAUUUGUAAGGAACACAGUCAUAUUUUAAUUAAAAAGAAAGGACUAAAAGAAGUUAAAUGCCUUUCCUUUGUCUAUAUGACUGUAUUGUAAUAAAUUAGUCUUCUUUCUCUGGAUGAAUAUCAGCAAAACUAACUUUCUAUGUAUUUCUUUUGAGUUUCAAACAGGAAACUUUAUCUGGGAAUACUUUAACAGUUCAUCUCUGGAAAUUUACAAGAGCUCUACAACUGUCCAUCGAAACUUCACUAUAAUGUGCUUAAGAGCCCUUAUAUGUGAUAUAAUUUUUAUAUGUUUUCAUCAGUAAGGAUAUCUUUAUGGACAAAUUCCAAAUGACUAAACAUGUAUGUGUAUGUGUGUUUCACACAUUGUCACCAUAAAGUAAGUUCUUACUGUUAUCAUUAGACUUACACAGAUGAAUAGAUGGACAAAUAGGUAGGUAUGUCUGUUCAGAAUGAUAUUAUCUUGGUUGGAUUGCCAUUAGUAUCAGAAAAGAAAGUGUUCUUUUCAAUACCUAUGAUUUAAGGGACAUUUUGCUAUAAGCUCUAAUAUUUCAUAAUUUCCAUUCAAAACAAUAUACCAAAUGAGAAGGAUGGAAAGAAUAGUCAAGGCUUCUGCCUAUGAAUCAAGACAAUGGAUGUGGGCAAUAAGUCUACCAUGUCUGAAUUUGUUUUGCUGGGGCUCUCUAAUUCCUGGGAACUACAGAUGUUUUUCUUUAUGGUGUUUUCAUUGCUUUAUGUGGCAACAAUGGGAAUAUUUUCAAAACUGUGCUGCUUUUUGCAAUAUAAAACUGUGGAAUCUUUUGGAAGAGACGCUAUUGAUUUUCUGUGCUUUUGUGGAGAAUUCUGAAACUCAAGAACAUUUGCCAAAAUACCCUCAAAGGUGUAGCUGAUCAGCAGACAACUCUAUAAGACAAGAUGCUGACACUCUUUUACCAAGGAUAACUGCAGUGACAUGGCCAUGGACUCGUUAAGCAAUAGUAAGGAUGGUGCCAGCUGCCACCGGAGUUUCCAGAGACAGAGAUAAUGUUCUGCAGAGAAUGCAAGAUAAGCAGGCAAGUAUAAUUUUAAGUGAUCUGCACUAUCUGCAAUAACACAAUUGAGGGAGUUCUGGAGCAUUUAUAAGAAGACUGUGUUGACAAGCAACUUCAUCUUCCUCUACGUGUUUAGAAAGCUGUGAAGCUUGACAACAAUUGAAUGCCGAUGGUAUAGAAAUCAGGUAUAGCUAAAACCAGAUAAAGUGUAAAUUUUAAUAUGUGAAGGAACUGGAUAUAUUAAUAGCAAUAAAAACUACAAAUUAUGUUUGUUUCUAAAAAUGCUUAAGAAAACUUUUAGAAUACUAUAUGGUAUAAUGAUGGUAUAGAAUACUAUAUGGUAUAAUAAUUGUAAAGCUUAGGUUUUAUAACUCGUCCUUUGCAUGGAUUUCCUCGAAGGCCCUAGAAUGGAAACUGACAACCUUUUAUUAGUUAUUUCGAUUUUUUUUUCCUGAAACAGGUGUCCUCAAACUGUAUAAGCUUUAAGCCUAGCUUGUCCAACCCAUGACCUGCAGGUUGCAUGCGGCUCAGGAGAUGGCUUUAAAUUCAGCCCAACACAAAUUCAUAAGCUUUCUUGAAACAUUAUAAGAUUUUCUUGUGAUUUUUUUGUAAAGCUCAUCAGCUAUCUUUAGUAUCAGUGUAUUUUAUGUGUGGCCCAACACAAUUCUUCUUCCAAUGUGGCCCAGAGAAGCCAAAACUUUGGACACCCCUGCAUUAAAAGGCUCUGCAGAAUCUGAAGUCUAAUAUGUAGUUUUAAAAGUCUUAGACUCUGGUAUCUUUUUUUUUUUUUUAAAAAAGCAGUGUUUAAUACUACUUCUACUACUAGUGGUGUAAACUUAAGCUAAGUACUUAAUACCUCUUAGCCUCAGUUUCUACAUAUGUUAAAGGAGAUAAUAGUGGUCUCUACACCACAGAGUUAUUUGAGGCAUAAAAGAAGCAAAUAAUAUGAUGUUAUACUUUUUCAUGCAAAGGAUCUUGAUGUCUUGCUUUAUCUCUUUUGGGAAUGAUAGUGCUAUUGUUGCUGUAGUAGUUGAUAUCUCUAACCAUUUUUGUUGGCUGAAGCUUAUUCUCUACUAUAUUCCUCAGGAAGUCUUCUUGAAGACCCUAUUCUCUGAAUUCUGGCGUGUUGGCAAGUUUCUUUGAAACAUUUAUGUACUGUAAUUUCAUUGGCUAUUCCUUUAUUUUCUUGAUUAUCUUAAAUUGAAAUAAUGACUCUCUUUGUAAGCACUUUGUCUGGAGUCUGCAAAGCCUGUGUUUUUCUUCACUCACCCUAGCAUACCAUACAAUUGGAAGUUUGGAACUGAUCUUUUAAUUUUUGAAGGGAGGUAUUAAUGACCCUUCUGAUAUUUACAUUAGUAGUCCCUCUAAAGUAAUUAAAUAGGACUCCAUUGCACUCAAGAGAUUUUAAAACAUUUAAAUUUCUAAAUUUCCUUUAAGUAUAUUAAAAUGUACCUAAAUAAAAUUGUUCUUCAAGAGUAACAUGUAAUUGAAUCAUCAACAUCUUUAUAUAACUUUUCCAAUUUUUUAAAGAAAGAUACCUCUCUUGCAGCUCAAUUGCUUUUUAAAUAAAAUAAAUUUGAAUCCCUGUUUGUACCUGGAGACCGUUUUGAUCUGCCCUCCUCACCUCACAUUUCACACAUGGAGAAAAAAAGUCUGCAC